AUUGCAUUGAGAACUGUAGUACCUGUUGAUAAACAAGGUAUUCCAUUAAAAAAAUUGUCAUGACAUAACUAAUAUUCAAUAAGUAUUAGAAGUAUGUCCCAACCAGAAUUCCAAUUUUACAAAUCAAUCAUUCAUGCUUUGACAGAUAAAGAUGACAGCAGCGCCAGAGCUUUAGAAAAUGAUGAAAUCUGCCUAAUCAUCAACAUAUUACUAGAAUCCUAUAGCGAUGCUUUCUACAAACCACAAAUCAUCACAUGCCAA
This 261-nucleotide unclassified non-coding RNA is filed under the name Hevea brasiliensis (rubber tree). The record is from RNAcentral. Lineage: Eukaryota; Viridiplantae; Streptophyta; Magnoliopsida; Malpighiales; Euphorbiaceae.